UCGACCUGAGCUCAAGCAAGACCACCC
RNAcentral lists this ribosomal RNA (27 nucleotides) under Dunaliella sp. BIOMEX. RNAcentral describes it as "partial 28S ribosomal RNA". Lineage: Eukaryota; Viridiplantae; Chlorophyta; Chlorophyceae; Chlamydomonadales; Dunaliellaceae. The record is from RNAcentral.